GUAAUCAUUGGUAAUAAAAGGUGAAAUUAAUUUGUUAUUUUAUAAUGUGUUUAAAUUAAAAUUGAAGCCAACAAAUUCUAGUUAUAAACUAGGAUUAGAUACCCUAUUAUUCUAGAUUCAAAGUGAGCAAAUUAAAUAUAUAAUAGAUAAUUUCUUUAAAAUUAAAAAAUUUGGCGGUUGUUUAGUCUUUUCAGAGGAAUUUGUUUUAUAAUCGAUAAACCACGUAAUAUCUUACGUAUUUUAGUAAACAGUUUGUAUACCGUCAUUAUCAGAUAAUUCUUAGAAGAAUAAUUAUUGUAAUUGAAAUAAUUAAAUAAAUUAGAUCAUGGUACAGCUUAUAAAUAAGUACAAUGAGUUACAAUAAAUUAUUUUAUAUGGAUUAAUAGUUGAAAAAAUUAUUAUAAAAGAGGAUUUGAUUGUAUUGUUUUUUUAAUAGGUAAAUAAUAUAUUAGCUCUAAAUUAUGUACAUAUCGCCCGUCGCUUUCACUUAUAAGUGAGAUAAG
Molecule: ribosomal RNA, 503 nt
Filed under: unidentified
Description: Dacryomaia edmonsoni partial 12S ribosomal RNA
Source: RNAcentral